Long non-coding RNA from Helicoverpa zea (corn earworm), 379 nucleotides. RefSeq lists it as uncharacterized. The transcript is spliced from 2 exons. The record is from RefSeq and is a predicted model, not a curated record. NCBI's taxonomy places the organism in Eukaryota, Metazoa, Arthropoda, Insecta, Lepidoptera, Noctuidae.
UUAAAUGCACAUUUGCAAGCGAUAAAUGCUGCAUUGACAUUAAACAUGUGUUAGGCGCUCUGUAAUGCACUUUUAACAUGACGUUAUUCAAGCUUCCUUACUGUGUGACCUCAAUGACUUUAAAGACAGAUUUACCAGAGACACGGUAUGGUGAGAAUAUCAAGCUGAUGGGACCUUUAUUACCUCUUUUGAGCUCCGAACUUCGAGGUGGAAUGUCUAUGGUUUAGUAUGGAUGGAUCUUUGCCGAAGUGAUCGAAAAUGGCGCCCCAACAUGUUAUUCUUGCUGCUAACUUGGUUGGAAGGUGGUACAAGUUUUCUGUUUGGACUAUCUUUGGUAUCUUGUAGCUUAUUAUUUGAUGAAUAACUUUGGAUAUUUUAA